AUGAACGCUGGCGGCGUGCCUAAUACAUGCAAGUCGAGCGAACAGACGAGGAGCUUGCUCCUCUGACGUUAGCGGCGGACGGGUUAGUAACACGUGGAUAACCUACCUAUAAGACUGGGAUAACUUCGGGAAACCGGAGCUAAUACCGGAUAAUAUAUUGAACCGCAUGGUUCAAUAGUGAAAGACGGUUUUGCUGUCACUUAUAGAUGGAUCCGCGCCGCAUUAGCUAGUUGGUAAGGUAACGGCUUACCAAGGCAACGAUGCGUAGCCGACCUGAGAGGGUGAUCGGCCACACUGGAACUGAGACACGGUCCAGACUCCUACGGGAGGCAGCAGUAGGGAAUCUUCCGCAAUGGGCGAAAGCCUGACGGAGUAACGCCGCGUGAGUGAUGAAGGUCUUCGGAUCGUAAAACUCUGUUAUUAGGGAAGAACAAAUGUGUAAGUAACUAUGCACGUCUUGACGGUACCUAAUCAGAAAGCCACGGCUAACUACGUG
This 496-nucleotide ribosomal RNA is filed under the name uncultured bacterium. RNAcentral describes it as "partial 16S ribosomal RNA". It matches the Rfam family "Bacterial small subunit ribosomal RNA", at positions 29 to 507 of the family's 1533-position model. The record is from RNAcentral.